CCGGAGGUAAUCCGGAGGUUUAUCCUGACACUCUCAAUAACCUCAAUCUCAAGUGGAGAUGGAUCGUUAUAUGGUGGAGAAUAGUAGGAGGUUCUAGUCUAUGGUAACCGGUCAGGGAUAUAGAUGUUGACGGAAUAACCUUGUGGAUGAUAUAGGUUAGUGUUUGUAUAUGGAUUUGAAUGGGUAUUGUUGGAGGUCAUCAAAAGUGCAUGAACC
RNAcentral lists this long non-coding RNA (216 nucleotides) under Vigna radiata. Its description in RNAcentral is "long non-coding RNA (VRAD_LNC018339)". The record is from RNAcentral. Lineage: Eukaryota; Viridiplantae; Streptophyta; Magnoliopsida; Fabales; Fabaceae.